AGCGGGCUGGGGAAGCCAGGCCUAUCCCGCAGGGCUCAUAACCCUGAGAUCGGAAGUUCAAAUCUUCCGCCCGCUACCA
Molecule: transfer RNA, 79 nt
Filed under: Candidatus Thorarchaeota archaeon
Lineage: Archaea; Promethearchaeati; Candidatus Thorarchaeota
Also listed under: 1 other name
Description: tRNA-Met
Rfam family: tRNA
About the family: Transfer RNA (tRNA) molecules are approximately 80 nucleotides in length. Their secondary structure includes four short double-helical elements and three loops (D, anti-codon, and T loops).
Source: RNAcentral